Molecule: long non-coding RNA, 1275 nt
Filed under: Citrus sinensis (sweet orange)
Lineage: Eukaryota; Viridiplantae; Streptophyta; Magnoliopsida; Sapindales; Rutaceae
Description: long non-coding RNA (CSIN_LNC000669)
Source: RNAcentral
UUGCAUUUUCUUUGGUGAUGACAUUUGGUAGUGGAUCUUGUUCCUAUGGAAGAAAUUGGCCAUUUCCAACCAAUAAGCUUUGGUGAAAGCUUAUCAAAUGGAGUCAAAUUUGUAGUGUAAAAACAGUUACAAGUUCAAUUGUUGCAUCAUAUUGGGAUCAUCCAUGCGAUGAGACUUUUGCCACCUAAUUUUUGAACCUCAACCAAAACUGAGCAUAACAUGGGUGAUCUUAUUGUUACUGUCUUUUAACUCCGCAAAAAAAAAAAAAAAAUUGUUAAGAGCACCGAAUAUAUAAGUUCACUUUUAAAAAAAAUAAAAAAUCGAAAAUUUUCAUUUUAUUUAAAUUUUCAGUAGCCUCAAAUUAUAACAUAUACGUAGAUUCUUGUAACAAAUAGGUGUUAAAAAAAAAAAGAAAAAAGAAGAAGAAGGUGGUGGGACACUUACCUCACAACAUGCAGGUGUAUAUUCACUAUAGUCCCUUAGAACACUUGGAGAGACAUGUGGAGUGGAGGGCAUCUUAUUGCUCAUAAGGAAAAAUAUAAAACAAGAUCUUUAUAAAGGUGCUAAGAAUAAGAAAUAUGCGGGUGCAUUGAUUUGAUCCAUUGAUGAUGCUAAAUUGAUUUCAUGUGCCCAAAACAACAACAAACGAAUAUGUAUCGGCGUGGAGGAAUAGCGGCCUCACCUUCAUUCGGUCACCGUCCCUUUCUAUAAAAAUGAAUAACUAAUUUUCAGCCCCAAAGCCAAUAAAAUAAUAAAAAAGUGCAUAGAUGUCAGACAAGGAAAAUAUAAAAAGGCAAAUGAGUUCACCCCAGGAAUCUCAAUAAAUUCUUUAUUUAUAUACUUACAUACAUUAUAUAGUUAAAAAUAUAAAUUUUUUUUUUAUCUCAUUCUCAAUUUUAAUUCAUUAAAAAAGAAAAAAAAAUAGCAUAUUCGGAGUUAUUUUACUCUGCUUCUCUCAUGGUUUUCUUCUCGUUUCGGUCAAAAAGUAAGCAAAUUCAAAGCUUAAUUCCAUUUUUUUAAGGAGAAAGAGGGGGAAAAAGAAAAGCUAAUGAAGAAACUUGCAAGAUUUGAAUAAUAGAGAGAGAGAGAGAGAGAGAGAACCACUUGCUCAAAUAAACAUCCGAAGAUGAUUCAUCUUCUCCUCUUCUCCUCUUCCAUUUGUUUCCGCUCUCUUCCAAUUCUUGGGUUGUGCCACUUGGUGCUCUCAUUAAAUUAAAUAAUCUAUUUUGUCGCUCGGGGAUGCUGCGUGAUAGGUGGUAAUUAAUUAAAAAUUAU